Molecule: long non-coding RNA, 333 nt
Organism: Exaiptasia diaphana
Lineage: Eukaryota; Metazoa; Cnidaria; Anthozoa; Actiniaria; Aiptasiidae
Exons: 3
Source: RefSeq, a predicted model, not a curated record
UGAAGUAAAGAGUGUCGUACAAACCUUUAUCAAGGCAGUUUUUUCUUCAUGUUCAUCUUCUUGUUGUGCCUCUAGCUGCUUCAUCUGACAUGAGCAACAUCUCAUACUGAAAACGAAACACCGGAUAUUCACUUGCGUGYUUUACACUCUUAAAACCAAGAUAUAACAGCACUGGUAAUGAUUUCACKCAGGUUUGAACUAUACACCUUCGUAUGGUGGGAACCACAUAUGUACAAUUUGUGCAAGUACCUGCAGGGUGCCACAAGUAAUUAAACCAGCUGAAUCAAAGUCCAGGCUCACAAGCAAGGUUAGCUUUGAUGCAUUUUUGUUCAG